This 108-nucleotide ribosomal RNA is filed under the name Pichia sp. CBS 8578. RNAcentral's name for it is "5.8S ribosomal RNA". It matches the Rfam family "5.8S ribosomal RNA", at positions 1 to 114 of the family's 154-position model. Rfam says of the family: 5.8S ribosomal RNA (5.8S rRNA) is a component of the large subunit of the eukaryotic ribosome. It is transcribed by RNA polymerase I as part of the 45S precursor that also contains 18S and 28S rRNA. Lineage: Eukaryota; Fungi; Ascomycota; Pichiomycetes; Pichiales; Pichiaceae. The record is from RNAcentral.
AAAACUUUCAGCAACGGAUCUCUUGGCUCUCGCAUCGAUGAAGAACGCAGCAAACCGCGAUAUGUAGUGGACCUGCCCGUGAAACAUCAAUCUUUGAACGCACAUUGC